GAAUCCUUGUCUCCUGCUUUGGCAGGCAGACUCUCCACCGCUAAGCCACCAGGGUAGUCCCUGGAGAUUCUCAGAUUCCAGAACACUUGGAUUCCUAACCAUGAUAAUAUUGAUAAAAUUGUUCUUUUGUGUAAAUACUGUCUGAUUUCUAUCUUGCUGUUUCUACUCUUAAAAAAUAUGCUGCUUCUAAAAAAUAUCUGUAAUGUCUAAUGACAAUUAUAUAAAGAAAAAGCGGCUCUUUUCUUUAAAGAAAAUGGUGCAGUUCACAUUCAAUAUUUGCUUUUGUAGCAUGCACUACCUCUCUUUCCUAUUUCUAUAGUGAACCUCCCCGCCCCUCUGCAGAGUAUUUAGGUGUUUCAGGUGGGAUGAACCCAGCAGGAAUUCCUCGGAUAGAUUGGCAUAAUUUAACAGCCCCUUGUAUCUUUCUGGCCACAUGAUAGGUUGGGAAGGAGCUCAUACCUCGGGCAUAAGCCAAUCAGUGCCUAUCAUUCUAAUAGCUGACGUGAUUGGUUUAUAGAACUAUAGACGCAAGGUGAGACACUUGCUUUCUCCUCCAGGGUAGGAGGAGGUGGUACCUAACGCCAGUCUCUGUUGGCCCCCAUUCUGGAGGGGGAACUGAAAGCUCGGAUUCGUGGAGCUCAAGUUCUGACCGCACCACGUCUGACGUCGUCCUCACUCACUGACAUUUCAGUCAUUACGGCCAUCAGAAAGAAAAGUCAAAAUUGAAUAGACGUCAAACAUUACCUCGACAUGAUCAUCACUGUAACCGGGACCUCAUUAUAAUUUCAUCUUCUUAUUCAAGGCCAAACAAAAUUCAGCUGCUUGCUGAAAUGUGAGCAGAGGGUUACAGCAGAAGUGCUCGGGGCUGAGUACCACGAUCAUCUCUGUGGCCUCACCAGCCUGGGCUGCCCCAGUGGGUCAGGCUCCCUUCUACUUGGCCAGCCUUCUCCUGCUGCCAGUUUCCUCAGAUACCAUGUGCAAGCAAUCCAAAUCCAACUGCUCUAAAAUUCACUGGAAAAGAAGUACCCAUGCUUUUAAGAAGCUUCAGAGUGAGUCAUGAAAAAACAUUUUUAGAAGAUAUAAAUGUCACUGGAACCUAAAUGUCGAAAAUUUGUGCAAAGGCUUUGUUCAUGAAACUAAUGAAUUCCCUAUACUUUGAUGGACGGGAAAGCCUGGCAUGCUGCAGUCCAUGAGGUCGCAAAGAGUCAGACAUGACUGAGCAACUAAACUACACAAAGGUAAGUGUCAAAACAAUUAGCACAAAAUUUAAGAGUCCUAAAAAAGAGAUAAGGUAUUUGAAAUAUACAAAUUGUAUAAUUUAUAACAGCAGAAAGAACCUAAAAUCUUAACAUAAACUUCUAUAAUCACUGUAAAUUUAUGUGCACUUUCCUAUUAGGAUUAUCAGUAGCUUUGAGGAUGCACAUAAAUGAAGACAGAUUUAAAAACCUUGAUUGGACUUCCCUGGUGGUGCAGUGGUUAAGAAUCCACCUGCCAAUGCACGGGACAUGGGUUGAAUCCCUGAUCCAAGAAGAUCCCACAUGCUGUGGGGAAAGUAAGCCCAUGCGCCUCAACUAUUAAGCCUGUGCUCUAGAGCCCGCGCUCCACAACAAGAGAAGCCACUGCAAGGAGGAGCUGGUGUACCCCAACGAAGGGUGACCCCAACUCAUCCCAACUAGAAAAAGCCAACAUGCAGCAACGAAGACCCAACGCAGCCAAAAACAAACAAACAUUUAAAAAUAUUGACUGAUUUCCAGUGUACACUGAGUGUGUUUUGAGGCCUACAUACAGCUGGUGUGGCGGGAUCUUUGUUUUCCUCUAUAUAUGUCCCUCGUGGCUCCAAUUCAACUUUUCACUGCAUGUGGCUGAGGUCUGUGGAUAAGAAAAUCAAUGACAGAGUCCCUGUCCCACACAAGGCUCACUACUGACCAGGAGCCAUGCAACAAAAGGCGUGAGGAGGAACAACUGUGCAUCUUGGGAACAACGAAGGGAACUUCAUUGGGGACAAUGAAGAAAACCAGGACAGGUAGGGGACAGUGUGUAUUUCACAGAGAGGUGCGUAUCACUUACUCCCAUGACGCCCUCAACAUACCUAAUAUAUCAAUGCUUGAAAACAGAAUGUCUGCACUGUUACAUAGCUCAACUGACACUGUUCCUUGUAUUAACCUCCCAUGAAAUCUUUUCUGCUGUUUUGACAACAAAGUCAUUUCUUAAAUAUCACUCAUAAAAUUUAAGAUUUAAAAUAGUUUUAUCUUCAAGGUCCUACUAUAGGACCUUGGUCCUACAGGAAACUCUGUAGGUCCAUGGGAAACUCCGGUCAAUGUUAUGUGGCAGCCUGGAUGGGAGGGGAGUUUGGGGGAGAGUGGAUACAUGUGUAUGUAUGGCUGAGUCCCUUUGCAGCACACCUGAAACUAUCACAACAUUGUUAAUUAGCUAUAUACUCCAACACAAAAUAAAAAGUUAAAAUUAAAAAAAAAUUGUAUCUGUCUUUCAUAUUUCAUAGAAUUUAAUAGUUUUCCUAAUGUUAAAGAAAAGGGCUGUGAUAAAAAUAAUUAAUAAUUGGCUUGAAAACACAUUUCUGUAUGUGAACUGGAACUGAUUUCUUUUCUGGAAAUUUAUAACACUUGACACUAAAAUUAGUCAAAUGAUGAAAUCUUCAGUCAGGGAAUUAGGUGUUUGGUUUCUGCAGGUUAUACUUGCUUUUAACUUCUUCCUCUCUACUUCAGGAGGGAAAUGAACAGCAAAAGCUGUCAGAUGAAAUACAACAAAUCAGAAAGGUCUGUACUUUUUUAACUGUAUUUAUAGCUUUCCCUGUAAGGAAAAGUUAAACCUGUAUCUGCCAUUAAACCCACUUGCUGGAUGUUUGCCAGUACAAUAAAAGUAAAUACAGUAAUAAAUAAUGAAAUAGAUCCACUAAACCUAGCACUGUCAGUUUAGUCUUUAGUAUAAUUUAUAUAAUUCAUACUUCUUACAACAGACACAAAUAAAGAACACUAACAAGUACAAGCUGAGAGAGCACGCUGAGUAACCAGCAAAGUGCAACAGGAUCAAGAAACAUCAAAAAUAGAAUUAUUUAUUUUCUCCCUUUAGUCCAACAUCUAGCAAGUCUACGUAGGCAUACCAGAAUAAUGAAAAAGGCAAUGAUGAUGAUGAUGACAGCUAAGAUUUACUGGGCAUUUAACGUGUACUAGGUUCUGCUAAAUGUUUUAUAUUUAAGCCUGACAACAAUCCUAAGAACAAGACCCUAUUACUAAACCCUACUUUAAAGACAUGGGCGAAGAGGCUGAGCCAUGUUAGGAAGUGGCAAGGCUGGGAUGCUAACAGAGGCUUCUGAAUUCAAAACUCUAAACCACUCAAUUGUGGGAAGAGAAAGAUUAUAAAGUAUGGGAUUUAGCAACAGUUUUCUGCGGGCAAAAAUUUUAAACAUAUUCAAAUGUAUUUAACCUAGUUCCAUAUUGCUAUACUAUACACUAAAACUGGGGAAAUAUUCCAUCCUAAAAGAGCAACUGACUUCUAAAUCACUGAACUAUUAAUAAAUUUCAAAAUAUUUUCCUAGAUGUUGUAACAAACUAUUUUAUAUCACAUAAAUUAGAUUUUUAUCCUCUAGAAAAUAGUAACUCAAAACAUUUAAUUUCAGUUAUUUUCACCAUAACACAGUGAUUUCUGAAAAAAAAUCAGAAGUCAAACUUGUAAAGUUGGUAAAGAUAAAGAAAUUAUAACUAAAUCAUGACAGACAUGACUGAAAUUAUUCCAAAAC
Molecule: long non-coding RNA, 3754 nt
Organism: Dama dama (fallow deer)
Lineage: Eukaryota; Metazoa; Chordata; Mammalia; Artiodactyla; Cervidae
Exons: 4
Source: RefSeq, a predicted model, not a curated record